Molecule: ribosomal RNA, 253 nt
Filed under: uncultured bacterium
Lineage: Bacteria
Description: partial 16S ribosomal RNA
Rfam family: Bacterial small subunit ribosomal RNA
Source: RNAcentral
GACGAACCGUGCGAACGUUGUUCGGAAUCACUGGGCUUAAAGGGCGCGUAGGCGGGCUGCCGCGUCCGGGGUGAAAUCCCACGGCUCAACCGUGGAACUGCCUCGGAUACGGGCGGUCUUGAGGGGGGUAGGGGCACGCGGAACUGUGGGUGGAGCGGUGAAAUGCGUUGAUAUCAGGAAGAACACCCGUGGCGAAGGCGGUUCUCUGGGACGGUACUGACGCUGAGACGCGAAAGCGUGGGGAGCGAACAGG